RNAcentral lists this ribosomal RNA (1381 nucleotides) under Lactiplantibacillus plantarum. Its description in RNAcentral is "bacterial SSU rRNA". It matches the Rfam family "Bacterial small subunit ribosomal RNA", at positions 68 to 1424 of the family's 1533-position model. The record is from RNAcentral. Lineage: Bacteria; Bacillati; Bacillota; Bacilli; Lactobacillales; Lactobacillaceae.
UAUUGAUUGGUGCUUGCAUCAUGAUUUACAUUUGAGUGAGUGGCGAACUGGUGAGUAACACGUGGGAAACCUGCCCAGAAGCGGGGGAUAACACCUGGAAACAGAUGCUAAUACCGCAUAACAACUUGGACCGCAUGGUCCGAGUUUGAAAGAUGGCUUCGGCUAUCACUUUUGGAUGGUCCCGCGGCGUAUUAGCUAGAUGGUGGGGUAACGGCUCACCAUGGCAAUGAUACGUAGCCGACCUGAGAGGGUAAUCGGCCACAUUGGGACUGAGACACGGCCCAAACUCCUACGGGAGGCAGCAGUAGGGAAUCUUCCACAAUGGACGAAAGUCUGAUGGAGCAACGCCGCGUGAGUGAAGAAGGGUUUCGGCUCGUAAAACUCUGUUGUUAAAGAAGAACAUAUCUGAGAGUAACUGUUCAGGUAUUGACGGUAUUUAACCAGAAAGCCACGGCUAACUACGUGCCAGCAGCCGCGGUAAUACGUAGGUGGCAAGCGUUGUCCGGAUUUAUUGGGCGUAAAGCGAGCGCAGGCGGUUUUUUAAGUCUGAUGUGAAAGCCUUCGGCUCAACCGAAGAAGUGCAUCGGAAACUGGGAAACUUGAGUGCAGAAGAGGACAGUGGAACUCCAUGUGUAGCGGUGAAAUGCGUAGAUAUAUGGAAGAACACCAGUGGCGAAGGCGGCUGUCUGGUCUGUAACUGACGCUGAGGCUCGAAAGUAUGGGUAGCAAACAGGAUUAGAUACCCUGGUAGUCCAUACCGUAAACGAUGAAUGCUAAGUGUUGGAGGGUUUCCGCCCUUCAGUGCUGCAGCUAACGCAUUAAGCAUUCCGCCUGGGGAGUACGGCCGCAAGGCUGAAACUCAAAGGAAUUGACGGGGGCCCGCACAAGCGGUGGAGCAUGUGGUUUAAUUCGAAGCUACGCGAAGAACCUUACCAGGUCUUGACAUACUAUGCAAAUCUAAGAGAUUAGACGUUCCCUUCGGGGACAUGGAUACAGGUGGUGCAUGGUUGUCGUCAGCUCGUGUCGUGAGAUGUUGGGUUAAGUCCCGCAACGAGCGCAACCCUUAUUAUCAGUUGCCAGCAUUAAGUUGGGCACUCUGGUGAGACUGCCGGUGACAAACCGGAGGAAGGUGGGGAUGACGUCAAAUCAUCAUGCCCCUUAUGACCUGGGCUACACACGUGCUACAAUGGAUGGUACAACGAGUUGCGAACUCGCGAGAGUAAGCUAAUCUCUUAAAGCCAUUCUCAGUUCGGAUUGUAGGCUGCAACUCGCCUACAUGAAGUCGGAAUCGCUAGUAAUCGCGGAUCAGCAUGCCGCGGUGAAUACGUUCCCGGGCCUUGUACACACCGCCCGUCACACCAUGAGAGUUUGUAACACCCAA